AUGUGUGUGCCAAAGAGCAACGGAGGUAUGGGGUUUAGAGAUGUCCACUGCUUCAACCUAGCCCUCCUAGCUAAACAGUGCUGGAGACUGGUAGCAAAACCAAAUUCUUUAUGUGCCAGAGUAUUGAGGGCGAAAUAUUUCCCGGACGGUGAUUUACUCAAUUGUUCCCUCAAGAAAGGUAGUUCUUAUACAUGGCAGAGCUUGUGGAGUGGCGUUCAGACUUUCAAAAAAGGUUAUAUAUGGAGAGUGGGAGAUGGCACACAAAUAAGCAUUUGGAGUGAUCCAUGGGUACCUAGCAGCCCAAACAGGAAGGUAAUGACUCCACGAGGUAAUAUCAUACUCACGAAAGUUUUUGAACUUAUGGACGUGGAUAAUGGGUGUUGGGAUGAGCAACUUAUCAGACAUAUAUUCUGGCCCAUUGAUGAAAAUCGUAUUUUGAACAUACCCCUGGCCAUGGGGAUGAUGGAGGAUUUUGUUUCAUGGCACUACAACAAAACUAGAAUUUUCUCGGUCAAGACG
This 519-nucleotide ribosomal RNA is filed under the name Triticum aestivum (bread wheat). Its description in RNAcentral is "partial small subunit ribosomal RNA". The record is from RNAcentral. Lineage: Eukaryota; Viridiplantae; Streptophyta; Magnoliopsida; Poales; Poaceae.